RNAcentral lists this ribosomal RNA (253 nucleotides) under uncultured bacterium. RNAcentral's name for it is "partial 16S ribosomal RNA". It matches the Rfam family "Bacterial small subunit ribosomal RNA", at positions 524 to 776 of the family's 1533-position model. The record is from RNAcentral.
GGCGAAGGAUCCAAGCGUUAUCCGGAUUCAUUGGGUUUAAAGGGUGCGUAGGCGGCCCGGUAAGUCAGUGGUGAAAUCUCCUUGCUUAACAAGGAAACUGCCAUUGAUACUGCUGGGCUUGAGUACAGAUGCUGUGGGCGGAAUAUGACAUGUAGUGGUGAAAUACAUAGAGAUGUCAUAGAACACCGAUUGCGAAGGCAGCUCACAAAACUGUAACUGACGCUGAGGCACGAAAGUGCGGGGAUCAAACAGG